This 1046-nucleotide long non-coding RNA is filed under the name Taeniopygia guttata (zebra finch). Its description in RNAcentral is "lncRNA (ENSTGUG00000022377.1)". Lineage: Eukaryota; Metazoa; Chordata; Aves; Passeriformes; Estrildidae. The record is from RNAcentral.
GGCGUGGCUGGUUGUGGGCGUGUCCCUGGUGGGCGUGGCCUGAGUGGGCGUGUCUCCCGGUGGGCGUGUCCAGGUGAGCACCACCUGCGGAUCCGGCCGGUGGCGCUGGAGGAUGACGCCACAUUCACCUGCCAGGCGGGGGAGGGGAACCGGACACACAGCACCCGCCCCGCCCUGCUCAGCGUGCUGGGUGAGAUGGGGGGACUGGGUUAUACUGGUUUAUACUGGGAGGGGAUUGGGGGCCACUGGGAUAUACUGGGAUGGACUGGGAUGGACUGGGAGGGUAUUGGGGGGGACUGGGUUAUACUGGGUUAUACUGGGAGGGACUGGGAUGGACUGGGAGGGUUCCCGCCCCGCCCUGCUCAGCGUGCUGGGUGAGAUGGGGGGACUGGUUUGUACUGGUUUAUACUGGGAGGGACUGGUUAUACGGGUUAUACUGCAUUAUACUGGUUAUACUGGUUUAUACUGGGUUAUACUGGUUUAUACUGGGAGGGACUGGGAGGGGUCCCGCCCCGCCCUGCUCAGCGUCAUGGGUGAGAUGGCGGGACUGGUUUAUACUGGUUUGUACUGGGAGGGACUGGGAGGCACUGGUUAUACUGGCUUAUAUUGGGUUAUACUGGUUUAUACUGGGUUAUAUUGGGUUAUACUGGGUUAUACUGGGUUAUACUGGGUUUAUACUGGGAGGGGAACCGGACACGGGCGUCCCGCCCCGCCCUGCUCAGCGUGCUGGGUGAGAUGGGGAUUCUGGUUUAUACUGGUUAUACUGGGACAGACUGGGAUAUACUGGGAGGGGAUUUGGAGGGACUGGGAGGGACUGGAAGGGGAUUGAGAGGGGAUUUGGGUUAUACUGGUUUAUACUGGGAGGGACUGGGAGGCACUGGGAGGCACUGGGUUAUACUGGGAGGGACUGUGAAGGAACUGGGUUAUACUGGGAGGGGAUUGGGGGGCACUGGGAUAUACUGGGAUAUACUGGGAGGGACUGGGAUGGACUUGGAGGGGAUUGGGGGGGACUGGGGGGGGAUUGGGGGGGACUGGUUUAUACUGGG